Molecule: long non-coding RNA, 4106 nt
Organism: Humulus lupulus (European hop)
Lineage: Eukaryota; Viridiplantae; Streptophyta; Magnoliopsida; Rosales; Cannabaceae
Exons: 3
Source: RefSeq, a predicted model, not a curated record
UUUACGAUCUAUAGUACAAUGUCUUGUUUAGAAAAAAAUCAUGAUCAGUGACCAUGGAUAUAUUAUUUCAAGUGCUAUAAAUACAAUGUUAGGGUGUUAGGAACUGAUCAACAAGUGAGAUCGAAUCCUAUACAUAUUACAAGAUGAAAAUGGAGAAGAGUACUAAGAAUAGUGUGGUGAUGAUGAUGAGCUAUAUUAUAGUUGUUGUUCUUGUGUUUCUUCCAUCUACUAGUUUUGCAGGUGGCGGGAGAGCUCUGAAUAAUCUUCAACUUUACUCCUCUGAUCAUCCUGGACAGGCACAGGUCACUCUCACUAUCGAACCUUCUCUUUCAGAUAUAUUAUUGCUACAAAGUUCAGGAAAGAAUGCUCAAUGCUUUGGUAAAUUUUGCGCGCCUUGGUCACCUUGCCAACCUGGAUGUACAUGUCUUGGAACGAGUGGUACCGGAGCUUGUGUUGGAUUCUAAUAUGUAUUCUAUGUAAUGUCGAUUGUCGCCUACAUAUAUAUAUAUAUAUAUAUAUAUAUGUGAAAUAAUGUCAAUCAUAUAUAUAUAUAUAGUGCUAGUAGUAAUGAAUAAUAAUGUUAUACAUGAUAUGACAUGAGCAUGCAUAUUUACGUACGGUGUAUAUAUGCAUGCAUAUGCAUGUUAUUAGUGUAACUUAAUUUAUGUAUGCCUUUAAUUCCUUGAUAAAAUGGAAUACUAUUAUUAAUAAGUCGUGUGUUGUGUUUUGUACGAUUUACUUAUUAUCCAAACUAUUACCACUUUCAAAUUUGUAUGUUUGUUUUUAGUCUUGUUCACUAGUGUAAAUUUGUUAAGAUUGAGUGAGUAUUAGUUUAAGGUGUUAGUCUAACGUGAAACCAUUUUGAAUUAUCACUACAAGAAAAUUAGGCUCUAGGGAUGACAUUAAAAUUUUCGUCGCUAGAGGUACUUCGAGAGACAGGUGUGCAUAUCUCUCCUAUUUCACGCGAAACCAAAUAAGAAACCCCAAAACUUAUUUUUUCCUCAGUAAUUAAUCUUUCCUCUUAGACCCCAUACCCCAAACCCCACUCUCUCCUCUCAGACCUCAAACCUCAAACCCCAAACCUCUGUAAGUCUCCCCUCUCUCUCUUCUCUUAGACCUCAAACCCCAAAUUCCCAACUCGACUUUCAUAGGCGGCGGCGUCCUUUGAUCAUCCUCUCGAGCAGCUCCAUCGUAUAGGUGGCGUCCCCAAGCUCUCUGAUCAUCCUCUCAGCAUUCACAGGUAUAUAUAUAUUUAUAUAAAUAUUCUGUUUGAUUUAUUGUUAAUAUUGUUAACUUAAUUUGUGUGUAUAUAUAUACUCUUUUGUGAGCCAGUGUAGUCUUGGCUAGAGGCAGUCUUCAUUUGAUUUACUCUUCAUUUGAGAUUUUGUCUAAAAGAAGACUAUCAUUAUGUUGUCCCAGCUAUAUGUUCAAAUUGACAGGUAUGUUGUUUGUUUAUUUUGAGUCCUAUUUUGUGCCUGUUUUUAUGGUUUAGUCUAUGUUUUGUGCUUUGUAUUUUGUGCCCUAUUUUGGGGCAAUAAUAUGUAUCUUCCUAUUUCCUUUUUCUUUGGUGGGAUUUGGGCUACGAUGUUGGCUUGUUUUUGGGUAACAUGGUUAGAAUGGAAUAGCAGAAUUUUUGAUGAAAAGUCUUGCCAUUAUGAUAUCAUUUGGGAGAUGGUUAAGUUUUGGGUUGCUACUUGAGUGUAUCGCACAUAGGGUUUUGAGGGGUUAUCCUUCUUGGAUCUCUCUAGAGAGUGGAUAAGUUUUUUGUCUAUGUAGUUAAAGUUGUUUUGUUUAUGUUUUUUGUACCAAAGUUUUCAUCUGCCAUAAGUGAAGGUUAUUUAUAUAUGUGAAAGGGGCUCGACCUAGUGUUUGGUCUUUGUCUCCUUAUUUUUUUUUUUAAAAAAAGUUUGUACCAUUCGCUGAAAUAGUUUUCAAAUAAUGAAAUCAAAUAUAUGAAUAUUUUUUUAACGCAUAAAUAUAGCAUAAAAUUGUGUUUUGAUUAUGAUUUUCUCGAUAGUGGCUCGAUAGGGUUAUAUUGUAGCUCGAUGAUAGCUCAAUAGAGCUUGAUGACAAUGUUUACUUAGUUUUCUUACCAAUUGCUUUCACGUGUAGAUGCAGAUGCCGAAGUUGCUUUUCGUUUCGAGAUUAUGACUUUCCAGGUCGAGUCACAUAUAGGGGUGGUAGUGUUAGAAUAUUUAUUUAUAUAGUAUAUAAAAUCAAUUUGUUACAACUAAUUGAUUUAAUAUAUCAAAGUAAAUAUUUUAUUUAUUGACAAAAUAUUCUAAUUAAGGGUCAACAUUAUUUGUUACUCAAUUUUGUUUGUUACUCGAUUUUGCAUAUCACAACUGAUUGAGAGAAUAUCUCAAUCUGUGGCAGAGACUCUGAUGGUAGGUCUCACUCUAUAAAUAUAGAGUACCGGUCCCCAAGCUCACUGCUCAUUCUAACUUUCAGUAACUCCAUCUAAAAGAGUUAGUGAGAGCUUGGAAGCCUGUGUAUUCGUUCUAAUUUCUAUUUCUUUUGUAGAUCUAAAGUUAGAUCGAGGUUCACCAAAUCAAUGGAUGGAGCUUCUUCAUCCUCCUCUAGUUUCGCUGAAAUCCUUACCGAAAUUCCUGAGCUUAGGGGUGAAAAUUUCAAAAUUUGGAAAGAACGAGUUCUUCUUCAUUUAGGCUGCGCCAAUAUGGACUACGCAAUAAGGAAGGAUGAACCUGCUGUAAUCACUGUGACUAGCACUGCUGCAGAGAUCGUACUAUAUGAAAAAUGGGAGCGAUCCAAUUGCCUCAGCAUCAUUUGCAGCUAGCACUGCUGCUGAGAUCGUACUAUAUGAUCGGUGCAGUUCGACACUUUAGACAAACCACUUUACAGCAACCUCAUCCACCAAUUCUCAUCCACAAAGGUCACUGGUGUCAAAAGACUUAGAGAACAUAUCUUAAAUAUGAGGGACAUUUCUGCUCAACUGAAGAAGCUCGAUGUAGUCAUUCCUGAAACCUUCCUGGUCCACUACAUCCUUAACAAUCUUCCACCUCAAUACGGGCCUUUCAAAAUUUCCUACAACACACAUAAGGACAAAUGGAGUAUCAAUGAACUGAACCAUGUGUGCUCAAGAAGAAGCAAGGCUCCUACAGGAAUAAGGUGAAAGUGCUCACAUGGCCACCCAAGGAAAGAAACGCAAACCAUCCAAGAAGGACAAGGGGAAAAAUAACGUGCCUCCCCUAGGCGAAAUAAAGAAGGAUUCCAUCAAGUGUUUUUUCUGCAAAAAGAAGGGAGGUGUGAAAAAAGAAUGCGCCAAGUUCAAGAAGUGGAUGGACGACAAAGGGUUUACAAAAGGAAGCUAGUGGGAAGUGACCAAAGCAUCUUAUUUGGAAAUAAGAUGGGCUCACAUGUGGAGGCUAUUGGAACGUGCCAUUUAGUUUUAAGUAGAAGUUUUAUUUUAAAGUUAGAAAAGAAAUUUUAUGUACCAAGUUUCUCUAGAAAAUUGAUUUCCAUUUCAAGACUUGUACCUUUUGGUUUUUCCUUUACAUUUUCAGAUAAAUCUUUAAUUUAUAUAAUAAAUCUGAAUGUAUUGGAAAUUGUAUUUUUUCUAAUGGUCUUUACUGCCUUAAUUUAUAGAACAAUAUCGCUUAUAAUACUGUGCACGUUCACGCUGGCAAUAAACGAUGUGUUAUGAAUAAGAAUUUCUCUACAUUAUGGCACCGGAGAUUGGGACAUAUUUCCAUUGAUAGAAUUAGAAGGUUAGUGAAAGAUGGGGUGCUCAAUACCUUAGAUUUUACUGAUUUGGAUACUCGUGUGGAUUGCAUUAAGGGAAAUCAUACCUCCAAGUCUAAGAAAAGUGGUGUCCAUAGGAGUUCCGACCUAUUAGAAAUCAUACAUAUUGAUAUAUGUAGUCCAGACAUGGAAUCAUAUGGUCAGAAAUAUUUCAUCUCCUUCAUAGAUGAUUACUUAUGCUACAUGUAUAUCUACUUACUUCAUAACAAAAGCGAAGCAUUAGAUGUCUUUAAGAUAUUUAAAGCUGAAGUAGAGAAACAAUGCAACAAGCAAAUUAAAAUAGUGAAAUCAGAUAGAGGUGGAGAAUAUUAUGGUAGAUACACUGAAGAUGGACAAGCACCUGG